UCCCUGAUGGCUCAGAUGGUAAGGAAUCUGCCUGCGACGCAGGAGAGUCAGGUUCAAUCCCUGGGUCAGGGAA
Bos taurus (domestic cattle) is the source of this 73-nucleotide non-coding RNA. NCBI's taxonomy places the organism in Eukaryota, Metazoa, Chordata, Mammalia, Artiodactyla, Bovidae. The record is from Rfam.